RNAcentral lists this small nucleolar RNA (199 nucleotides) under Dasypus novemcinctus (nine-banded armadillo). Its description in RNAcentral is "Small nucleolar RNA SNORA73 family (ENSDNOG00000026635.1)". It matches the Rfam family "Small nucleolar RNA SNORA73 family". Rfam says of the family: U17 (SNORA73A and SNORA73B) also known as E1 belongs to the H/ACA class of small nucleolar RNAs (snoRNAs). The record is from RNAcentral. Lineage: Eukaryota; Metazoa; Chordata; Mammalia; Cingulata; Dasypodidae.
CCAACAUGGAUACCUUGGGAGGUUAUUCUCCCCGGGCUCUAUCCAGGUGGUGCAGGGCAUAGGAUUCUGCAGUGAUGUACAUUCCCAUCCCUCGAUGUUGGAGAUGAAUCCAGGCCUCAAGCCUGCACCUGCAUAUUCCUACAGCUUCUCAGAGUCCUAUGGACAAUGACUGAGGAGACAAACCAUGCAGGAAACAUGU